GAUUCCCUUAGUAACGGCGAGUGAACGGGGAAGAGCCCAGCGCUAAAUCUUGCUGCUCUAACGGGUAGCGAGAGGUGUAGCGUAUAGCAGGCGAUCUUCCUUGAUGGCUGUCGACUUAAAUUCUCCUUGACUGGGGUUCCAGAGAAGGUGAAAGGCCUGUUCAGUCGAUGGCCGUCUUGGAUUCCGUUCUGCUUGGAGUCGGGUUGUUUGGGAACGCAGCCCAAAUUUGGUGGUAAACUUCAUCUAAGGCUAAAUACGGCCACGAAACCGAUAGCAAACAAGUACCGUGAGGGAAAGUUGAAAAGUACUUUGAAGAGAGAGUUCAAGAGGACGUGAAACCGGUAGGAUGGAAACGGAUAGAGCCAACGAACAAGCCCGUAUUCAGCUAGUCGGCUGCGUGCGGCAUGCCUUUGUACUCGAUAGGGUGCAUGGGUGUGUGCGGUAUGCGGUUGGCUAGUGCAUUUGCGGGUGAUGUGCGCUGAGGCGUGUGGUGGAGUCCUGCAAACUGUCUGGAGAGGCCUUGACUUCGGUCUUGAAACCUACAGGCGGGGAGUAGGGUUUCUGCUGCAUGUAGCUAAUACGGCUAGGUGCAAACGCGCUGCCGUGCUGCCGGGCUGGUCGUUUGGUCGGUCGCAUGCGACUAGGCCUUUCGAUUAGUCUUGGUGGUGCGGUAGUGCCCUAGCCGGUCCUCGGUGUAAAAGUUGGUCAUCUCUCCGACCCGUCUUGAAACACGGACCAAGGAGUCUAGCGUAUACGCGAGUCAUUGGGUGGAAAACCCAUAGGCGUAAUGAAAGUGAAGGUCUCUUUAUGAGGCUGAUAUGCGAUCCGUUGCACUACGGUGUAUGCGGAGCAGCAUAGCCCCGUCUCGACUGCUUGCAGUGGGGCGGAGGUAGAGCGUAUUCGCUGGUACCCGAAAGAUGGUGAACUAUGCCUGAGCAGGAUGAAGCCAGAGGAAACUCUGGUGGAGGUCCGAAGCGCUUCUGACGUGCAAAUCGAUCGUCUGACUUGGGUAUAGGGGCGAAAGACUAAU
RNAcentral lists this ribosomal RNA (1030 nucleotides) under Zeldia punctata. RNAcentral describes it as "eukaryotic LSU rRNA". It matches the Rfam family "Eukaryotic large subunit ribosomal RNA", at positions 73 to 935 of the family's 3401-position model. Lineage: Eukaryota; Metazoa; Nematoda; Chromadorea; Rhabditida; Cephalobidae. The record is from RNAcentral.